AGCUGAAAUAAUUAAUGCGCAGUUUAAUGGGCACUCUACCUUCUUAUUGGCACAUUUUGUAGUGCGCUGGAUGUACGGGGAUUCCGCUGUCGUAGUUGUCAAUGCCGAGUCUCCUUGCUGCAGGGGAGGGAGCAGGUGUCUGGGGAACAUCAGCACAAAGUGCAGAGCAAGACAGGACAAACAGCGAUGCAAUAAGGGACCAUUCAGGAAGUCACAGCGAACAGAGGAAGAGUCAGGCCAAGUGGAAGAGGCUUUGUGCAGCAGUUGCUGACCGGAUCCUGGAAAUUCCACAGUGCUUCAACGAUCAACAUGGGAAAUCAACAUGAGACUCUUAAACUCCACUGGAAAUGGCAUGCGAGGAAGUGAAAGGGAUCAUGGGAAAUUUGGUGGCAAACGUACAUGUUUCCCUACAAUAGAACUUUGUCGACUUGGUUGAAAUAUCCCGGUGGUUAUUUUCAGCCCUUGACAUGGGA
Brienomyrus brachyistius is the source of this 473-nucleotide long non-coding RNA. RefSeq lists it as uncharacterized. The record is from RefSeq and is a predicted model, not a curated record. NCBI's taxonomy places the organism in Eukaryota, Metazoa, Chordata, Actinopteri, Osteoglossiformes, Mormyridae. The transcript has 3 exons.